GUGGGGAAUAUUGGACAAUGGGCGAAAGCCUGAUCCAGCAAUGCCGCGUGAGUGAUGAAGGCCCUAGGGUUGUAAAGCUCUUUUACCCGGGAUGAUAAUGACAGUACCGGGAGAAUAAGCUCCGGCUAACUUCGUGCCAGCAGCCGCGGUAAUACGAGGGGAGCUAGCGUUGUUCGGAAUUACUGGGCGUAAAGCGCGCGUAGGCGGUUUUUUAAGUCAGAGGUGAAAGCCCGGGGCUCAACCCCGGAAUAGCCUUUGAAACUGGAAAACUAGAAUCUUGGAGAGGUCAGUGGAAUUCCGAGUGUAGAGGUGAAAUUCGUAGAUAUUCGGAAGAACACCAGUGGCGAAGGCGACUGACUGGACAAGUAUUGACGCUGAGGUGCGAAAGCGUGGGGAGCAAACAGGAUUAGAAACCCCGGUAGUCC
Molecule: ribosomal RNA, 425 nt
Filed under: uncultured bacterium
Lineage: Bacteria
Description: partial 16S ribosomal RNA
Rfam family: Bacterial small subunit ribosomal RNA
Source: RNAcentral